Molecule: small nucleolar RNA, 139 nt
Organism: Mus pahari (shrew mouse)
Lineage: Eukaryota; Metazoa; Chordata; Mammalia; Rodentia; Muridae
Product: small nucleolar RNA SNORA48
Exons: 1
Source: RefSeq, a predicted model, not a curated record
UGCCCUGGCAAUGGGCGAAGGGAUUCCUUGGUGGUGGUGUUGUUAUAUCAAUCCUGGGCAGAACAGAUGUCAGCGCUUUGUUUAUCCUAGCUUGAUGCCUGGCUUGGUGGCCAAACUGACUUAUGCUCAGGACUCAUAA